This 964-nucleotide unclassified non-coding RNA is filed under the name Hevea brasiliensis (rubber tree). The record is from RNAcentral. Lineage: Eukaryota; Viridiplantae; Streptophyta; Magnoliopsida; Malpighiales; Euphorbiaceae.
AACAAAAAAAAAAAAAAAGUUUUACUGUGCAGAAAAAGAAAAGGAGAUUGAGAGUUUCUUUUGAUGUUAUUCCACAAGCAAGCGGGAUUAAUAGCUUUGCAUAUCAUUUACAACUGCAGUUAAAAAGACUUGAAGUUGAGAGAAACAAACAAGGGAAAAAUAUGUGUAGGAUCAAAUGAAAGUAAAUGGCCAUGUCCUGGAAAUAGCAUGCCUAUUUUCAAAAGAAAACAAAAUGAAUACAAAGCUAAAAAUAACAGUAUGAAGAAGAUAUCUUUAUUGAGUAGGAUUAAAUAUACACUUUGAUUGGGCAUUUGUCAAUAUGAGAUAAAAUUCUAACUUAUCUUAGCGAACUAUCUGUAAAUGUAUCUUAAAUUUGUGGUUAUGUAGCACACUAUGGAUGUAAUUAUAGUAGCAGUGUCAUAUAUUGUUGCUUGUAGGUCCUUCUGUAUGUAUAAAUAUGCAUUAAAUGUCCUGUUAAAGAGCUGAUAUGUUCCUACGGAAAAAUCAAGGAUUUGCUUGGUUUUGCACACUUGUGAAGGUUUGCCUUUAUUUUUUGUUGGAAAUUUCUGACAGCUAAAAGUUAUUGUCUAACUCUUUAUGAGAGAAAUAUUUAAAUGCUUGUAUUAUCACACAAAGGGAUGGGGAGAGAGGAAAAUGUCACUUACAGAAUUAAGGUGGGAUUAUUUAAAUGGAGAAAUGUGGUGGGUGGCCUGUCUUUUGCUAUUCUAAUGUCCCUGCCAAGUUAAAAGGGGAAGUUUGUCAAUGCUGCAAUUUGGCUGGCUGUGGCCCACGAGAAAUCAAUGUUGCUUGGUGAAUAAGUGUUGUAAAGAUCAGGAUUCCAGGAUAGCUGUGAGGAAAUACAUAGCAAACUAGAAGUGGUAACUGAUGCAGUCGCAGUCAAGAAAAACUAAAUAUAGGAAUUAUUUUGAUCUAAUUUUCCUUGUAAAAUUAAGAAGUUUAGGUU